This 505-nucleotide ribosomal RNA is filed under the name uncultured bacterium. RNAcentral describes it as "partial 16S ribosomal RNA". It matches the Rfam family "Bacterial small subunit ribosomal RNA", at positions 28 to 507 of the family's 1533-position model. The record is from RNAcentral.
GACGAACGCUGGCGGCGUGCCUAAUACAUGCAAGUAGAACGCACAGUUUAUACCGUAGCUUGCUACACCAUAGACUGUGAGUUGCGAACGGGUGAGUAACGCGUAGGUAACCCGCCUGGUAGCGGGGGAUAACUAUUGGAAACGAUAGCUAAUACCGCAUAAUAUUAAUUAUUGCAUGAUAAUUAAUUGAAAGGUGCAAUUGCACCACUACCAGAUGGACCUGCGUUGUAUUAGCUAGUAGGUGAGGUAACGGCUCACCUAGGCGACGAUACAUAGCCGACCUGAGAGGGUGAUCGGCCACACUGGGACUGAGACACGGCCCAGACUCCUACGGGAGGCAGCAGUAGGGAAUCUUCGGCAAUGGACGAAAGUCUGACCGAGCAACGCCGCGUGAGUGAAGAAGGUUUUCGGAUCGUAAAGCUCUGUUGUAAGAGAAGAACGGGUGUGAGAGUGGAAAGUUCACACUGUGACGGUAUCUUACCAGAAAGGGACGGCUAACUACGUG